AAAGAAAUAGUUAAAAAAUAACAUUAAAAUGUCAUUUUAAAAUUAAAUAAAAUAUUUAUUCUUUA
RNAcentral lists this transfer RNA (65 nucleotides) under Xenos cf. moutoni RZ-2020. RNAcentral's name for it is "tRNA-Asp". Lineage: Eukaryota; Metazoa; Arthropoda; Insecta; Strepsiptera; Xenidae. RNAcentral also lists the same sequence under 1 other name. The record is from RNAcentral.